CCUACGGGAGGCAGCAGUGGGGAAUAUUGCACAAUGGGGGGAACCCUGAUGCAGCGACGCCGCGUGAGUGAAGAAGUAUUUCGGUAUGUAAAGCUCUAUCAGCAGGAACGAGACAAGACGGUACCUGACUAAGAAGCCCCGGCUAACUACGUGCCAGCAGCCGCGGUAAUCCGUAGGGGGCAAGCGUUAUCCGGAAUCACUGGGUGUAAAGGGAGCGUAGACGGCUGAGCAAGCCUGAAGUGAAAGGCGGGGGCCCAACCCCCGGACUGCUUUGGGAACUGUACGGCUGGAGUGCAGGAGAGGUAAGUGGAAUUCCUAGUGUAGCGGUGAAAUGCGUAGAUAUUAGGAGGAACACCAGUGGCGAAGGCGGCUUACUGGACUGUAACUGACGUUGAGGCUCGAAAGCGUGGGGAGCAAACAGGAUUAGAUACCCCAGUAGUC
This 441-nucleotide ribosomal RNA is filed under the name uncultured bacterium. RNAcentral describes it as "partial 16S ribosomal RNA". It matches the Rfam family "Bacterial small subunit ribosomal RNA", at positions 338 to 795 of the family's 1533-position model. The record is from RNAcentral.